AAUGAACGCUGGCGGCGUGCCUAAUACAUGCAAGUCGAGCGAACAGAUGAGGAGCUUGCUCCUCUGACGUUAGCGGCGGACGGGUGAGUAACACGUGGAUAACCUACCUAUAAGACUGGGAUAACUUCGGGAAACCGGAGCUAAUACCGGAUAAUAUAUUGAACCGCAUGGUUCAAUAGUGAAAGACGGUUUUGCUGUCACUUAUAGAUGGAUCCGCGCCGCAUUAGCUAGUUGGUAAGGUAACGGCUUACCAAGGCAACGAUGCGUAGCCGACCUGAGAGGGUGAUCGGCACACUGGAACUGAGACACGGUCCAGACUCCUACGGGAGGCAGCAGUAGGGAAUCUUCCGCAAUGGGCGAAAGCCUGACGGAGCAACGCCGCGUGAGUGAUGAAGGUCUUCGGAUCGUAAAACUCUGUUAUUAGGGAAGAACAAAUGUGUAAGUAACUAUGCACGUCUUGACGGUACCUAAUCAGAAAGCCACGGCUAACUACGUG
Molecule: ribosomal RNA, 496 nt
Filed under: uncultured bacterium
Lineage: Bacteria
Description: partial 16S ribosomal RNA
Rfam family: Bacterial small subunit ribosomal RNA
Source: RNAcentral